Molecule: ribosomal RNA, 776 nt
Filed under: Methanobacteriota archaeon
Lineage: Archaea; Methanobacteriati; Methanobacteriota
Description: bacterial SSU rRNA
Rfam family: Archaeal small subunit ribosomal RNA
Source: RNAcentral
AAAUCUGGUUGAUCCUGCCAGAGGCGACCGCUUUUGGAGUUCGAUUAAGCCAUGCGAGUAGAAAGAAAUUAGAUUCUUUGCAAACUGCUCAGUAACACGUGGAUAACCUGCCCUAUGCUCCGGAAUAACCUCGGGAAACUGAGAAUAAUACCGGAUAGAUCACAACGCCUGGAACGGUGUGUGGUUCAAAGGUCACGGCAUAGGAUGGGUCUGCGGCGUAUCAGGUCGUAGGGGGUGUAACGGACCUCCUAGCCAUCGACGCGUACGGGUGUUGGGAGACAUAGCCCGGAGAUGGAUUCUGAGACACGAAUCCAGACCCUACGGGGUGCAGCAGGCGCGAAAACUUCACACUGCAGGAAACUGUGAUGAGGGAACUCCAAGUGACUGCACAUUGUGUAGCCUUUUCUUUACUAUUAAUCGGUAUUGGAAUAAGGGCUGGGAAAGACCGGUGCCAGCCGCCGCGGUAAUACCGGCAGCUCAAGUGGUCGUCGCUUUUAUUGGGCCUAAAACGUCCGUAGCCUGUUUGGUAAAUCUGUGGGUAAAUCAACCAGCUUAACUGGUUGAAUUCUGCAGAGACUGCCAGACUAGGGACCGGGAGAGGUGUGGGGUACUCUAGGGGUAGGGGUAAAAUCCUGUCAUCCUUAGAGGACCACCAGUUGCGAAGGCGCCACACUGGAACGGAUCCGACGGUCAGGGACGAAGCCUAGGGGCACGAACCGGAUUAGAUACCCGGGUAGUCCUAGGUGUAAACGCUGUGAACUUGGUGUCGGGGAUCC